This 390-nucleotide ribosomal RNA is filed under the name uncultured bacterium. RNAcentral's name for it is "bacterial SSU rRNA". It matches the Rfam family "Bacterial small subunit ribosomal RNA", at positions 29 to 420 of the family's 1533-position model. The record is from RNAcentral.
AUUGAACGCUGGCGGCAUGCCUUACACAUGCAAGUCGAACGGUAACGCGGGGGCAACCCUGGCGACGAGUGGCGAACGGGUGAGUAAUACAUCGGAACGUACCCAGUAGUGGGGGAUAGCUCGGCGAAAGCCGGAUUAAUACCGCAUACGACCUAUGGGUGAAAGCGGGGGAUCGCAAGACCUCGCGCUAUUGGAGCGGCCGAUGUCGGAUUAGCUAGUUGGUGAGGUAAAGGCUCACCAAGGCUACGAUCCGUAGCUGGUCUGAGAGGACGACCAGCCACACUGGGACUGAGACACGGCCCAGACUCCUACGGGAGGCAGCAGUGGGGAAUUUUGGACAAUGGGCGCAAGCCUGAUCCAGCCAUGCCGCGUGUGUGAAGAAGGCCUCGG